CCGCCGGCGACCGGCGCACGGGUGAGUAACACGUAUGCAACCUGGCCGUGACAGAUGGAUAACCGGGAGAAAUCCCGCCUAAUACAGCAUGACGCCGGGAAGGGACAUCCCUUUCCGGCCAAAGGGGGCGACUCCGGUCACGGAUGGGCAUGCGGCGCAUUAGGUAGUUGGUGGGGCAACGGCCCACCAAGCCGACGAUGCGUAGGGGUUCUGAGAGGAAGGUCCCCCACAUUGGAACUGAGACACGGUCCAAACUCCUACGGAAGGCAGCAG
RNAcentral lists this ribosomal RNA (273 nucleotides) under uncultured bacterium. RNAcentral describes it as "partial 16S ribosomal RNA". It matches the Rfam family "Bacterial small subunit ribosomal RNA", at positions 85 to 354 of the family's 1533-position model. The record is from RNAcentral.